Molecule: ribosomal RNA, 1313 nt
Filed under: Triticum aestivum (bread wheat)
Lineage: Eukaryota; Viridiplantae; Streptophyta; Magnoliopsida; Poales; Poaceae
Description: partial small subunit ribosomal RNA
Source: RNAcentral
AGACAACAAGACUCCUCGUUGAAUCCAGUGAACCACAAGACUCCUCGAAGUGGGCUGCAUCAACCCGUUUUUCUCUUGAAAAAGAACCAUUAAUGCUCGUUGAAAUGAACUUCUCAACAAAUAAAUUUUUUUACACACAAUACAUCAUAUACCAGCCAGAUACACUCAAUACACACAAAAAAAACCACAAACAGCAAGAUAAACUUCAUGCCCGCUUGCUCCGAGCUGCACGCCACACACACCGCACGACACCAUGCAUGCAUGCGUGUAGACUGCACCACCAAUGAUUGAGGUGCAAUGCUGGGGCGUCCAGGCUACCAUGGCAAAGUGAACCUCAUGUCGGCGGCGGCCGAACUACAUAGAGAGAUUUCAUAAAAAUCAUUAGAAACUGAGUUCACCCAAAUCAACAAUAAUAAUCUGAAAAAAUACACAAAAAUUGUUUGGCGAACAGCAAGCCGCUAUCUCGGAGAUGCUACGGCGGUGAGAGAGAGGCGCUCCCCGGGCCCCUGUUGCUGGAACCGCGCGCUGGAGACGAUGACUGUGCAUAGCCAGUGAAGCGGCAGCCUAGGAUGCCCUACGAUACAGAUGGACCUGACGUCCCUUUUUUGAUCUGGUCGCCGUCGGGGGUCGCGGCAGCUCACUGUUGAUAACCAUCGCGGGCUGAGGAUGGAGGCGCCGGCCAGGGGGGUUGUUGGGAGGUAGAGGGGUGCUCAUCGGCUCGCCGUCCAUGCAGAAGAGUGCAGAGAGGAGGGGCAUUCCGCCCCGAUGCCGCGGUGGCCAGUGUCCACAAGGACAAAACCGAGCUGCAUAUGGUGGCGCAACCGAGCUGCACUAGGGCGGCGGUUGCCGGCCCGGAUCCGCCGCGGGAGGCACACGGGAGGCGCGCUGGGGCCGAUUGCGGGCCCGGAUCCGCCGCCGGGAGCAUGCACUGGCGAGACGAAUCGGUGUGUAUUGAUCUCAACAGGGAUAGGAGGCCUGCAACAGAGGAGGGGAGAAGGUGGAGCCAGAUCUGGCUACCGGGGCGUGCCUGGCCGUCACCGGUUGAUUUCGUGGCCGUGGAGCCGCGGGGAGGCAGUUGAGGUGCGUCGGUGUGUGGCGCAGGGAGCUGGGCAGGUGCAUGGAGAGGAGGCAGCGCGGGGAGUUGGGCUGGUGGCGCUGGGAGCCGAGGCCGCACUGGUCGGCGGCGGAGGGAGGUCGUCGCCGGAGGUAAAAGGAGGAGACGGAGGGGAAGGGGAUCCCGACCUUGUGGGAUCGUGGCGAGGUGCACCGGCAGCGGUUAAUGAAGGUGGGGGGCGAGCGCGCCACUGCGUGGU